RNAcentral lists this long non-coding RNA (678 nucleotides) under Cyanistes caeruleus (blue tit). Its description in RNAcentral is "lncRNA (ENSCCEG00000014082.1)". The record is from RNAcentral. Lineage: Eukaryota; Metazoa; Chordata; Aves; Passeriformes; Paridae.
UUUUUCAGUGACUUUGUGCACGCACAGAGGACAGCAAGGAGGAACACACACCUACGGCCUUGGAAGUGUGACCAUGUCUGAACCAGGAGCCACAAAGUUGCUCUGGGUCCUUCCCCUUCCUGCUCAGCAACAAAUGCAAGCAGCAAGCUCCACCUGCGGCAAACUUCAGGCCACAAACCACAAUCUGAAGCAAAAUAUAUUAAAGAAAGGAAAGGAGGUCUCUGGCUGGCUGACAGUUGAAAAGAUCCUGAUGCCUACUUUCCAUCCAGAUGACAGAUGUCUAAGAAAGGCUGUCAACUCAUUUCUCAUGAAGCAGUUUUUAAAAAUCUGGCAUCUUUCAGCUCACACUGAAUGAACAACACACUGAACCCCCAAAUCCUUAUGGAAAAACUGUAGUUAUUUUACCAGUAAGAACCUGCCAGGUCUAGACUAAAUAUAAACUAUCCAGCUAUUUUGUGUGUGGUCAAAUGUUCUGUGUGGUGAAAUAUCUCACCAUAAUAUUUCAUUGCAUCAAUCAAUUAAUUCUUAUGCCUCUGCAUUUAGGAAUGAUAUCUACCUAAAGGAAGUAACUAUCACUUUACUUUAACCACAUUAAAUGCUGCACAGAGGUGAGAACAUUUCACUUGAUAAAAAACAAACAGAAAUAAAUAAACAAAAAAAGAGUUUUAAGUUGUCCUA